RNAcentral lists this ribosomal RNA (245 nucleotides) under uncultured Oscillospiraceae bacterium. RNAcentral's name for it is "partial 16S ribosomal RNA". It matches the Rfam family "Bacterial small subunit ribosomal RNA", at positions 524 to 768 of the family's 1533-position model. Lineage: Bacteria; Bacillati; Bacillota; Clostridia; Eubacteriales; Oscillospiraceae. The record is from RNAcentral.
UACGUAGGUGGCAAGCGUUAUCCGGAUUUACUGGGUGUAAAGGGCGCGUAGGCGGGGAUGCAAGUCAGAUGUGAAAUCUAUGGGCUUAACUCAUAAACUGCAUUUGAAACUGUAUCUCUUGAGUGCUGGAGAGGUAGACGGAAUUCCUUGUGUAGCGGUGAAAUGCGUAGAUAUAAGGAAGAACACCAGUGGCGAAGGCGGUCUACUGGACAGUAACUGACGCUGAGGCGCGAGAGCGUGGGGAG